CAACGGUCGAGUAACCUCGAGGUAGGCCUGAAGGCAUUCGACUAGACAGAUAGCCGGGUUUCCCUGGAAUCUAGGGUAAACAAACACCUUCGAAGCCGACUUCGUUCUCCUGGAUAUGUUAAAGGAGAUGCCCUCCGGAGUGAACGCAAUGGCAUUCCAGUCCAGUGCCCGAACAUCCGACACCCUCUUGCAAGAGAUAAGGCAUAGCAACAUGACCACCUUCGCUGACAGCUGUUUCAGGGUGAGAUCCUGAUUUGGAUACCAAGCCGACAAGAAUUGAAGGACCACAUUCACGUCCCAGAAGGCAGUGAAUCUCGCACGGGGCGGUCUGGUGAGACGGAUCCCCUUGAGCAGUCGGCAUACAAAGGGGUGACGUCCUACGGGCGAACCAUCCAAGCCUUGGUGUCCGGCUGAUAUAGCGGAUCGGCAUAGAUUAAUAGUGCGGUACGCCUUCCCAGAUUCAAACAUCACAGUAAGGAAUUCCAUGAUCACAUGUAAAGGGGCAGAUAUGGGAUCCACUGACCGUUCCACGCACCAACUAGACCAUAUUCUCCAGGCGGAUCGGUACGCCACUCGAGUACCUGGUGCCCAUGCGUUGUCAAGGAGGUCGAGAGUUGAUUGCGGAACCCCUGUGAUAGACCAGGGUCCCCUGAAAGAGGCCAUGCGAUCAGGUGUAGGAGGCCGCGCUCCACCAACUCGUGCGAGUUGCCAUCCGGAUCCCUCAGGAGAUUCGGGAAGGUCGGUAUCAGGCGUGGGUAAUCCGCUGUCAGUUCCAGCAGCCGAGGGAACCAAGCCCGAGACCGCCAUAGUGGUGUGAUCAGUACC
Molecule: non-coding RNA, 825 nt
Organism: Pelobates cultripes (western spadefoot toad)
Lineage: Eukaryota; Metazoa; Chordata; Amphibia; Anura; Pelobatidae
Source: the annotation of a GenBank genome assembly